AUUGAACGCUGGCGGCAUGCUUUACACAUGCAAGUCGAACGGCAUCGCGGGAAAGCUUUCUUUCCUUGCGGCGAGUGGCGAACGGGUGAGUAACACAUCGCCACGUCCCGGCUUUUGGGGGAUAACCCGUCGAAAGACGGGCUAACACCGCAUACCCCCUUCUGAGGAAAGCAGGUGACCUUUUUUCCUUGCUCUAGUCUAGCCUCCCAUGUCCUCUUAGCUUGUUGGUGGGGUAAAGGCCCGCCAAGGCGACGAUCGGUCGCGGAUGUGAGAGGACGAUAAGCCACACGGGAAAUGAGACACGGCCAAGACUCCUAAGAGAGGCAGCAGUGGGGAAUCUUGGACAAUGGGGGGGAACAUGGUCCAGUAGUGGCGCGUGGGUGAAAGAGGCGUUGAGGUUGUAAAGCCCUUUUGGGAGGUAAGAAACGGGUUGGGCGAAGAACAAUGGUGGAUGACGGUACCGGGAGAAGAAGCACCGGCUAACUACGUG
Molecule: ribosomal RNA, 490 nt
Filed under: uncultured bacterium
Lineage: Bacteria
Description: partial 16S ribosomal RNA
Rfam family: Bacterial small subunit ribosomal RNA
Source: RNAcentral